This 502-nucleotide ribosomal RNA is filed under the name Clostridioides difficile. Its description in RNAcentral is "bacterial LSU rRNA". It matches the Rfam family "Bacterial large subunit ribosomal RNA", at positions 1084 to 1589 of the family's 2925-position model. Lineage: Bacteria; Bacillati; Bacillota; Clostridia; Peptostreptococcales; Peptostreptococcaceae. The record is from RNAcentral.
CACAGACAACCAGGAUGUUGGCUUAGAAGCAGCCACUCAUUCAAAGAGUGCGUAAUAGCUCACUGGUCGAGUGAUCCUGCGCCGAAGAUUUCCGGGGCUAAAACUUACUACCGAAGCUACGGCAUCAGUAAUGAUGGGUAGGGGAGCUUCCCAUACGGGUUGAAGCAUGACCGUAAGGACAUGUGGACAGUAUGGGAGGGAGAAUGUUGGCAUGAGUAGCGAGAUGUGGGUGGGAAUCCCACAGGCCGUAAACCCAAGGUUUCCAGGGGAAGGUUCGUCCGCCCUGGGUUAGUCGGGACCUAAGCUGAGGCCGAAAGGCGUAGGUGAUGGACAACAGGUUGAUAUUCCUGUACUACCGAUAACCAUUUGAGAGAUGGGAUGACACAGUAGGAUAAGCUAAGCACACUGUUGGUUAUGUGUGCCCAAGCAUUGAGGCAGUCAAAGUAGGCAAAUCCGCUUUGAUAAUGCUGGGAUGUGAUGGGGAGCGAAAUUUAGUAGCGAA